Molecule: ribosomal RNA, 271 nt
Filed under: uncultured archaeon
Lineage: Archaea
Description: partial 16S ribosomal RNA
Rfam family: Archaeal small subunit ribosomal RNA
Source: RNAcentral
CAGCGCCACAAGUAGUAACCGUAAUUAUUGGGCCUAAAGCGUCCGUAGCUGGCUAUAAAAAUUUUCUGUGAAAUCGUAAAGCUUAACUUUACGGACUGCAGAAGAGACUUUAUAACUUGGGACCGGAAGGAGUCAGAAGUAUUUCUGGGGGAGCGGUAAAAUGUUAUAAUCCCAGAAGGACUACCUGUGGCGAAGGCGUCUGACUAGUACGGAUCCGACAGUGAGGGACGAAAGCUAGGGGAGCAAUCCGGAUUAGAUACCCGAGUAGUCC